AGAAGAUUUAAUCAAUCUGGCACAUCUAAUAGAAUUGUGGAAAGCUGGGAUCUCACACGCAUCUUUCAUAUUAGCAUGUGCAGCUACAUGUGGACGGGCAUGGCUCCAACUUGAAAAGCAGAACUGCCGAGAUGCUCACAAGUCAAGAAAUCAAGUGCAUGAAGAUUCAAGUACUAGAAAUCAAGUGAUGCUAGCAAUGAUCUACAGAUUUUCAAUGCUGAGAACUUACAGAGCAACAGUAAAAUCUACUACAGGUUUGUUUUCACAACCAAAUUUAGGUGGAUUCCCUU
This is a long non-coding RNA of Magnolia sinica, 290 nucleotides long. RefSeq lists it as uncharacterized. The transcript is spliced from 2 exons. Lineage: Eukaryota; Viridiplantae; Streptophyta; Magnoliopsida; Magnoliales; Magnoliaceae. The record is from RefSeq and is a predicted model, not a curated record.